This 1231-nucleotide unclassified non-coding RNA is filed under the name Hevea brasiliensis (rubber tree). The record is from RNAcentral. Lineage: Eukaryota; Viridiplantae; Streptophyta; Magnoliopsida; Malpighiales; Euphorbiaceae.
AUUGUGAACUCUAUCAAAAACUAAAAAUUUAUUAGUCUAAAUUCACAUUACAAAAUAAAGUUUUCACUUACCAGUAACAGCAUUCAGGAAACAUAAUCUUCUGCUAUAUGAAACACUUGUGCUGCACAAAAAUUAUUGGUAACUUGGAUGCUAAGAUUUUCAACCUUGAAGCACUGUAUAUGACCACUGACAGCCCACAUGGUAAGAAUUUCACCCUUGAUAUGACAAAUGACCAUUGGCAUGUACUGUCUACAGAUAAAGAUGAGGAGCCUACUUUUUCUUUUAUUUGAUUGAGCUGCUUGAAAAGCUUUUAUAGAAAAGACUAGUUUGCAAGAAUGCAUUUAGAGAUUCAAGCCAAAAUUCUUAACAAUCAUAAAGACGAAAUUGUUUAGGCUGUGUUAAUUCUUAACAAGCGGAUGAUUCAAGAAACUACACAUUCAACCAUCCAGAAGCCUCAGUGCCCAAAAGACCCUCACAACACCCAAAAUCAAAUUCUAUGGAGUGCAACAGUUAAAAUUAUAUGGAUUUACAUUACUUAGUCUUAUUGUUUUAUCUAAUAUUUUCUUAUCAAAAAUUUUUGUCCCUUUAAGACAGUGAUAUUGUGACAAUGACUUUGUCUUGAUGAGUUAAUAUUCAUGUUAUUAAGCCCAUAAUUCAGGAUUUAAGUCACAGGACUCUACCACCACUACAGGCAAGCUUCAUGGGCCUGGUUCUAACUAUUCAAUGCUAUCAUUCUCAACAUCUUUUCAUUAUCCUGCGCUACUAACUGAACAGAUUGUUGUCAUGACACAAAGCUUCAAAGAAUGAAAAAACAUAAAUAUCUGUUGAACAAACUUCAGUAUUGUUGUAAAGAAGGGGGGAAAUUUUCUACAAGGAUCUUUUACACUAUACUUGAAUUCCAAACAAAUAUCAGAUCUCUAAAUACAAUCAGAAGUCAGAACUCAAAUAUUAACCUAUGUGGUAUUUUGAAACUGUGGAAAAGAAAUAAACAAAUGCCAGAAUCUUUCCUAGUUUCUGAUACCACAGCAACAUACAAUUCCAUCCAGAACAGUUAGUGACCCGUCCCACGUAGGUUCUGCAGGGAGGUGUUUCCAAACCUCCCCGUGAGUUAGAUUUUGAGGUGGAGGUGAGUUAGUUUUUGAGGUGGAGGUAGACAAAUUCAUAUCAUUUGGUGCCAGAGCCUCACUUUGCAUGGGUCAAUGGACCAGGGCCAUGUACAAAGGUUCCCUGA